RNAcentral lists this ribosomal RNA (550 nucleotides) under Octaspidiotus multipori. Its description in RNAcentral is "eukaryotic LSU rRNA". Lineage: Eukaryota; Metazoa; Arthropoda; Insecta; Hemiptera; Diaspididae. The record is from RNAcentral.
AUCUGGGCGGCGGAAUUCAGGAUGACGAGCGUGCCCUCGCGGGUACGCUGGUCGUUUGAUAUUUCCGUCGCCGAUCAACCGCAGACGUCGCGACCUGUUCGCGGCCGGUCCCUGCUCGGAGGAGCUGCGUUCGAGUUUGUUGCGUGCGCGUUUCGGCGUGUCACGCGGCAAAGGCGCGGAUCUCUGGCCGGCCGUCGGACAGUACGCUCAACGGUGUCCGGUGUCGUCGUCUCGUACGCGCGCGCACCGGUACCGGUCAGCGACGAAUUCUUCGGGCCUCUUUCCGACCCGUCUUGAAACACGGACCAAGGAGUCUAACAUGCGCGCGAGUCGCGGGGUGUCGAGCGUACUUCAGGUGCGUUCGUUACGUUGCGAAACCCGUACAUGUCGAAGGCGUAAUGAAAGUGAAUGGGGAAGAUGGUGUUCCGAGUUCACGUUCCGCGAUCGCUGGUAUCGCGGCCGGACACCCGCAUUCCCGGGGCGUCUCAACGGCCCGUCGCUGAUGCGGACAGUCGUCUCUCGGGGCGGUUGUCGGUCGGCGAUGAACCGA